UUAACGAUUUAACAUUUAACUCAGACGACACCAUUAAAAAGAUUUUGAACUUGGGCUUCGGCAGGCACAGGAGCCUGCCGAAGCAACAGUUUAACUUGCGAGGUACACAAGGGGUUGGAGGUUGGGCCAGGUUAGGACCCUAACUCGGUAAUGAUCCUUCCGCAGGUUCACCUACGGAAA
RNAcentral lists this unclassified non-coding RNA (180 nucleotides) under uncultured fungus. RNAcentral describes it as "sequence contains ITS1". The record is from RNAcentral. Lineage: Eukaryota; Fungi.